GACUUUCCUUAGCAGCAAGUUUCUGGUAAAAUAAUUCAAAGUUGAUAUAUAUUACCCAUAUUUUGAGAACUAUUCACUGUUCUUGCUAUGCACAAUUGCAGAAUUUCUUCCAAACAAAGUUUAUCUUCAGUGGAUGCAAUUUAUAUUUUUACCUUGCAACAAGUCUUUUUAAGUAAUGUAUUAGUAUUUCAUGACCAUAUGCAUUCUAAUUGAUCAAAUUAAGCUUUAAACCAAAAUCUAGAAUGUGCCUAAUAUUCUCCAAUAUUACUCAAAUGCUACACAACUCUCAGGCAAUGAAGAUAACAUAAUACAGGAAAAAAAAAACAACGACAUCAACAACAACAACAACAACACUCCAUCUCAAUAUAAUAUAUAUAACGAGGAUAAAAUAA
RNAcentral lists this unclassified non-coding RNA (392 nucleotides) under Hevea brasiliensis (rubber tree). Lineage: Eukaryota; Viridiplantae; Streptophyta; Magnoliopsida; Malpighiales; Euphorbiaceae. The record is from RNAcentral.